AUGGCAUUUUAAUUAGAAAGAUCAUAUCAUAGAGCACAUGUAUACUAAGUUUCAAGUUGAUUGGACUUCAACUUCAUCAAAAACUACCUUGACCAAAAACUUUAACCUGAAGCGGGACAGACCGACGAACGAACGGACGCACGAACAGACGAACGAACAGACGGACGGACAUACGGACGAACGGACGCACAGACCAGAAAACAUAAUACCCCUCUACUAUCG
This 222-nucleotide long non-coding RNA is filed under the name Mytilus galloprovincialis (Mediterranean mussel). Lineage: Eukaryota; Metazoa; Mollusca; Bivalvia; Mytilida; Mytilidae. The record is from RNAcentral.